GGCGGCUAGACUUUUCAUAGAGGAGCUUGUCCAUAAUUGUAACAACCCAAUAUCUCUAACCUUAAAAAUUCUUGUUUAUUUCCGUUAUUAGAAGCAAUUUUAAUAUACACAAAUAGUAAAAAUUUCAGGUCAAGAUACAGAAUUUUAAGGGAAAGAUUAGCUAUUUUUAUGUAAUUAAAGAAACAAAAAUUUAAACUCUUGUCAAAUUAAAUUUAACUGUAAUUUUUUUUAAAAGAAACUAAUGAAAUAAAAAUCUA
RNAcentral lists this ribosomal RNA (257 nucleotides) under Euepedanus sp. DNA104861. Its description in RNAcentral is "partial 12S ribosomal RNA". The record is from RNAcentral. Lineage: Eukaryota; Metazoa; Arthropoda; Arachnida; Opiliones; Epedanidae.